RNAcentral lists this ribosomal RNA (490 nucleotides) under uncultured bacterium. RNAcentral describes it as "partial 16S ribosomal RNA". It matches the Rfam family "Bacterial small subunit ribosomal RNA", at positions 29 to 505 of the family's 1533-position model. The record is from RNAcentral.
AGUGAACGCUGGCGGUAGGCCUAACACAUGCAAGUCGAACGGCAGCACAGUAAGAGCUUGCUCUUACGGGUGGCGAGUGGCGGACGGGUGAGGAAUACAUCGGAAUCUACUUUUUCGUGGGGGAUAACGUAGGGAAACUUACGCUAAUACCGCAUACGACCUACGGGUGAAAGCAGGGGAUCUUCGGACCUUGCGCGAUUGAAUGAGCCGAUGUCGGAUUAGCUAGUUGGCGGGGUAAAGGCCCACCAAGGCGACGAUCCGUAGCUGGUCUGAGAGGAUGAUCGGCCACACUGGAACUGAGACACGGUCCAGACUCCUACGGGAGGCAGCAGUGGGGAAUAUUGGACAAUGGGCGCAAGCCUGAUCCAGCCAUACCGCGUGGGUGAAGAAGGCCUUCGGGUUGUAAAGCCCUUUUGUUGGGAAAGAAAAGCAGCAGGUUAAUACCCCGCUGUUCUGACGGUACCCAAAGAAUAAGCACCGGCUAACUUCG